RNAcentral lists this ribosomal RNA (433 nucleotides) under uncultured bacterium. RNAcentral's name for it is "partial 16S ribosomal RNA". It matches the Rfam family "Bacterial small subunit ribosomal RNA", at positions 29 to 507 of the family's 1533-position model. The record is from RNAcentral.
AGCGAACGCUGGCGGCAGGCCUAACACAUGCAAGUCGAACGAACUCUUCGGAGUUAGUGGCGGACGGGUGAGUAACACGUGGGAACGUGCCUUUUGGUUCGGAAUAACUCAGGGAAACCUGUGCUAAUACCGAAUGUGCCCUUCGGGGGAAAGAUUUAUCGCCAUUAGAGCGGCCCGCGUCUGAUUAGCUAGUUGGUGAGGUAACGGCUCACCAAGGCGACGACCAGUAGCUGGUCUGAGAGGAUGACCAGCCACACUGGGACUGAGACACGGCCCAGACUCCUACGGGAAGCAGCAGUGGGGAAUCUUGCGCAAUGGGCGAAAGCCUGACGCAGCCAUGCCGCGUGAAUGAUGAAGGUCUUAGGACUGUAAAAUUCUUUCACCGGGGACGAUAAUGACGGUACCCGGAGAAGAAGCCCCGGCUAACUUCGUG